UUUCGAUAUGUAUGUCUGACGAUUCAGAAUGUUACAUUGAAACUGUUUUUUUGAAAUAAAUGUAUCUUAUUAAAUUAUCAUCACUGUUAUUUUAAUUAAUUGAUCAAGAUAAAGCGAGUUAUUCAGAGUUUGCUUCAAGUGCGGAGAACGACCAAAUCAAAAACAGUAGGCACAGCUUUCUGAUAGGUGGAAUGAAUGGCUUUGCGUACGAAUACUCCGAGUGAUGAGGUCCGGAUAUAAUGUUUUCGUCUGCAAGCUUACGUUGCAGUAAGAACGCAACAUUCGAGAACUUUGGGACAAACAUUCUUUCCGCGAUUGUUUUAUACUUUUCUAUUUUUAUAUGUUUCAUUUCUCAUUGUAGUACAACAGAUCCGUUGUAUGAAGCGUUGUAUACUUUUACCGAAAACGAAUUGGAAAAGAAUUGUCACAACUU
Long non-coding RNA from Limulus polyphemus (Atlantic horseshoe crab), 433 nucleotides. RefSeq lists it as uncharacterized. The record is from RefSeq and is a predicted model, not a curated record. The transcript is spliced from 3 exons. Lineage: Eukaryota; Metazoa; Arthropoda; Merostomata; Xiphosura; Limulidae.